GACGAACGCUGGCGGCGUGCUUAACACAUGCAAGUCGAACGGAAAGGCCCUGCCUGCAGGGUACUCGAGUGGCGAACGGGUGAGUAACACGUGGGUGAUCUGCCCUGCACUUCGGGAUAAGCCUGGGAAACUGGGUCUAAUACCGGAUAGGAGCCAUUUAUAGUGUGAUGGUUGGAAAGUUUUUUCGGUGUAGGAUGAGCUCGCGGCCUAUCAGCUUGUUGGUGGGGUAAUGGCCUACCAAGGCGGCGACGGGUAGCCGGCCUGAGAGGGUGGACGGCCACAUUGGGACUGAGAUACGGCCCAGACUCCUACGGGAGGCAGCAGUGGGGAAUAUUGCACAAUGGGCGCAAGCCUGAUGCAGCGACGCCGCGUGGGGGAUGACGGCCUUCGGGUUGUAAACUCCUUUCGCUAGGGACGAAGCUUUUUGUGACGGUACCUAGAUAAGAAGCACCGGCUAACUACGUG
Molecule: ribosomal RNA, 465 nt
Filed under: uncultured bacterium
Lineage: Bacteria
Description: partial 16S ribosomal RNA
Rfam family: Bacterial small subunit ribosomal RNA
Source: RNAcentral